GGGUUAACUGCAGUGCGGCUUGCUGCCAUCUCUUACCCAUGUCUUUUGAGUACCUUCGUUUCCUCGGCGGGUUCGCCCGCCGGUUGGACAACACUUAAACCCUUUGUAAUUGAAAUCAGCGUCUGAAAAACUUUAAUAGUUACAACUUUCAACAACGGAUCUCUUGGUUCUGGCAUCGAUGAAGAACGCAGCGAAAUGCGAUAAGUAGUGUGAAUUGCAGAAUUCAGUGAAUCAUCGAAUCUUUGAACGCACAUUGCGCCCCUUGGUAUUCCAUGGGGCAUGCCUGUUCGAGCGUCAUUUGUACCUUCAAGCUCUGCUUGGUGUUGGGUGUUUGUCUCGCCUUUUGCGCGCAGACUCGCCUCAAAACGAUUGGCAGCCGGCGUAUUGAUUUCGGAGCGCAGUACAUCUCGCGCUUUGCACUCACAACGACGACGUCCAAAAAGUACAUUUUUACACUCUUGACCUCGGAUCAGGUAGGGAUACCCGCUGAACUUAAGCAUAUCAAAAGGCCGGAGGAA
RNAcentral lists this ribosomal RNA (518 nucleotides) under Ophiosphaerella agrostidis. RNAcentral describes it as "eukaryotic LSU rRNA". The stretch from base 144 to 297 matches the Rfam family "5.8S ribosomal RNA". Lineage: Eukaryota; Fungi; Ascomycota; Dothideomycetes; Pleosporales; Phaeosphaeriaceae. The record is from RNAcentral.